This 74-nucleotide transfer RNA is filed under the name Bregmaceros nectabanus (smallscale codlet). RNAcentral describes it as "tRNA-Thr". It matches the Rfam family "tRNA". Rfam says of the family: Transfer RNA (tRNA) molecules are approximately 80 nucleotides in length. Lineage: Eukaryota; Metazoa; Chordata; Actinopteri; Gadiformes; Bregmacerotidae. The record is from RNAcentral.
GCCCUAGUAGCUCAGUAAUUCAGAGCACCAGUCUUGUAAACUGGGGGUCAAAGGUUAAACUCCUUUCUAGUGCU